This 469-nucleotide ribosomal RNA is filed under the name uncultured bacterium. Its description in RNAcentral is "bacterial SSU rRNA". It matches the Rfam family "Bacterial small subunit ribosomal RNA", at positions 28 to 507 of the family's 1533-position model. The record is from RNAcentral.
GACGAACGCUGGCGGCGUGCCUAACACAUGCAAGUCGAGCGGGGAGGAGGAAGCUUGCUUCCGAAUCCUAGCGGCGGACGGGUGAGUAACGCGUGAGCAACCUGCCUUGAACUGGGGGAUAACGCAUCGAAAGAUGUGCUAAUACCGCGUAAGACCACAGUACCGCAUGGUACAGGGGUCAAAGGAGCAAUCCGGUUUAAGAUGGGCUCGCGUCCGAUUAGCUAGUUGGUGAGAUAACAGCCCACCAAGGCGACGAUCAGUAGCCGGUCUGAGAGGAUGAACGGCCACAUUGGGACUGAGAUACGGCCCAGACUCCUACGGGAGGCAGCAGUGGGGAAUAUUGGGCAAUGGGGGAAACCCUGACCCAGCAACGCCGCGUGAAGGAAGAAGGCCUUCGGGUUGUAAACUUCUUUUACCAGGGACGAAGAACGUGACGGUACCUGGAGAAAAAGCAACGGCUAACUACGUG